GACAGAGGUGCCGAGCGUUAGGCGGAAUCACUGGGCUUAAAGCGUGUGUAGGCGGGCGGGCAAGUACCUUGUGAAAUCCCACGGCUCAACCGUGGAACGGCUGGGUAUACUGCCUGUCUUGAGCCAACUAGGGGCGAGCGGAACAGACGGUGGAGCGGUGAAAUGCGUAGAUAUCGUCUGGAACGCCGAAGGUGAAAACAGCUCGCUGGAGUUGUGCUGACGCUGAGACACGAAAGCCAGGGGAGCGAACGGG
RNAcentral lists this ribosomal RNA (253 nucleotides) under uncultured bacterium. RNAcentral describes it as "partial 16S ribosomal RNA". It matches the Rfam family "Bacterial small subunit ribosomal RNA", at positions 524 to 776 of the family's 1533-position model. The record is from RNAcentral.